This 1344-nucleotide ribosomal RNA is filed under the name Triticum aestivum (bread wheat). RNAcentral describes it as "partial small subunit ribosomal RNA". Lineage: Eukaryota; Viridiplantae; Streptophyta; Magnoliopsida; Poales; Poaceae. The record is from RNAcentral.
AUGGGGGAGGUGGCGGCGCUGCGGCAGCUGGUCGGCCAGGUGCAGGAGCUCUGGGACCUCUACGGCGCCGUCCACGCCCACGCCCACGGCCCCAUCCCCAGGUGGUAUUUACUUGACUUUGAGCAUGGUUCGGUCAAGGAUGAUUAUUGUGGAGAAAGGACUGGAUACAACCCGGAAUUAUUGAAGAUCAUGGAAGCUAACCAAUCUCCUCCUCGCAAGCGACCACGCAGAGACAGAAACCGAGAGAAAGCAUCCUUCCUGAACUCGGCUGAAGCAAUGAAGCUAGAUAUUUGGAGCGAGUUCCCUGAAGACCUUUUUGAAACUGUCAUUGCAAGGCUUCCAGUGGCUGCAAUUUUCCGAUUCCGCUCUGUUUGCCGGAAGUGGUGUUCUCUGGUAGGCUCAGACAAUUUCUCUCAGCAGUACUCUGAAGUCCCACAGGGAAUGCCAUGGUUCUAUACAAUCACACAUGAGAAUGGCAACAACAAUGUAGCGAUGUAUGACCCUUCGCUAAACAAGUGGCACCACCCUUCUGUUCCCCUUGCUCCUGCAAACAUAGUAAUGCCAGUGGCUUCUGCAGGUGGCCUUGUGUGCUUAUUGGAUCUUAGCCACAGAAACUUCUACAUAUGCAACCCUCUUACACAAUCACUAAAGGAAAUUCCUCCGAGGUCAGUCCAGGCAUGGUCAAGAGUGUCAGUAGGGAUGGUGCUGAAUGGAAGAACUUCUAAUGAGGGUUACAAAGUGAUGUGGUUGCGAAAUGAUGGAAAUCAUGAAGUCUACGACUCAGUGCAGAAUAUGUGGUCUCAGCCAGGCGCGUUUCCUCCAAGCAUCAAGCUCCCACUUGCUCUAAAUUUCAGGUCACAGCCUGUCGCGGUUGGCAGCACGCUGUACUUCAUGUGCUCAGAACCCGAGGGUGUUUUGUCAUAUGAUGUAAGCACUGGGAUUUGGAUUCAUUUCAUCAUCCCGCUGCCGCUGCAUCUGACUGACCACACACUUGCCGAGUUCCAGGGGAAGAUCAUGCUUGUGGGCCUGCUGUGCAAAAACGCAGCAACCUGCGUCUGCAUCUGGGAGUUGCAGAAGAUGACUCUCCUCUGGAAGGAGGUGGACAGAAUGCCAAAUAUCUGGUGCUUAGAAUUCUACGGUAAGCACAUGAGGAUGACCUGCCUGGGCAACAGCGGCUUGCUCAUGCUCUCCUUGAAGGCCAAGCGGAUGAACCGCCUCGUGAUGUACAACCUUGUGAGCAAGGAGUGGCAGAAGGUUCCGGACUGCAUGCUCCCUUGCAGCCGCAAGAAGCAGUGGAUAGCAUGUGGCACGGCAUUCAGUCCGUGCCCCUCUGCCUCACCCUGA